This 467-nucleotide ribosomal RNA is filed under the name uncultured bacterium. Its description in RNAcentral is "partial 16S ribosomal RNA". It matches the Rfam family "Bacterial small subunit ribosomal RNA", at positions 28 to 506 of the family's 1533-position model. The record is from RNAcentral.
GACGAACGCUGGCGGCGUGCUUAACACAUGCAAGUCGAACGGAAAGGCCCUGCUUUUGUGGGGUGCUCGAGUGGCGAACGGGUGAGUAACACGUGAGUAACCUGCCCUUGACUUUGGGAUAACUUCAGGAAACUGGGGCUAAUACCGGAUAGGAGCUCCUGCUGCAUGGUGGGGGUUGGUAAGUUUCGGCGGUUGGGGAUGGACUCGCGGCUUAUCAGCUUGUUGGUGGGGUAGUGGCUUACCAAGGCUUUGACGGGUAGCGGGCCUGGGAGGGUGACCGGCAACAUAGGGACGGAGAUACGGCCCAGACGCAUAAGGGAGGAAGGAGGGGGGAAUAGUGCACAAAGGGCGGAAGCGUGAUGCAGAAACGCAGGGUGCGGGAUGACGGCCUUCGGGUUGUAAACCGCUUUCGCCUGUGACGAAGCGUGAGUGACGGUAAUGGGUAAAGAAGAACCGGCUAACUACGU